Molecule: long non-coding RNA, 898 nt
Filed under: Castor canadensis (American beaver)
Lineage: Eukaryota; Metazoa; Chordata; Mammalia; Rodentia; Castoridae
Description: lncRNA (ENSCCNG00000026857.1)
Source: RNAcentral
UCCUGACUACUCAAACUGUGGUUGAUGGGCUAGCAGCUUAAGCUCCAUCUGGAGCACUGUAUAAAUGAGAAUUUCAGGACCAGGACCACUCUGCAGAAUCAGGAUCUGCAUUGAACAUGCUGCCCAAACCAUUUGCUACACUUACUAAAGUUUUAGAAGCACUGCUCUAGGACCAUCUUUCUCUAAGUGUAAUCCUAAAACACUCAGAGCUUUUCUUAAAAACCAAAUUUCUAGGCUCACUGCAGGACUGUAUAUGGGUCCCUGGAGGUAAAUUCUAGAAUCUGCAUUUUCAGCAAGUGCCCUUGGUUCCUGUGCGCAUGCAGAUGUAAGAAUCCAGUGCCAGAUGGAAGGAAUCAGUAGAGAUGGCUGUGGGCUGGAAUGGAACAAUGACAUUUAGGAACUGUGCACCAUGUCACAGCCCCUGCUGGAGAUCAAUACAGCAGAUCCAGUUGGUUGUGGAAAACACAGACCUCUCCCCGUGGCAAGAAUCAUAAGGAUGCAAUGACAAGAGACUAUUACAACUAGCUCUCACUGAUGGCCAGGUGAUGAAACCCAGGUUCUGAUAGUGAAAAUCCCAUGCUGGUCAGGUUCUCACAAGAGGCCACGGGAAAGCCAUGUCCAUUUCAGGAAUUCCAGCUCCACUGGGUCCCAGGUCCAUCCAGGCCAAAGAAUGAGACUGUUUGCCACAGAAGAAUCUUGCAAAGUUAAAAUGGUGGCCUCAUUAUCUGCCUUAGUAAUAGUCACCUGCCUCAUCCUGAAAACAAGUGUGACCAAGGACAGCUUUGGCUUUGGGAACUCACAUGGGAAUCAUUAUAGAUUAAAGCACAGGAAGCCCUACCAGUUCCAAGUAGCACCAAAUGAUGCAAUAAAAGUAAUGGUGACUGCUCUGGAGGAUUAG